GAGGAUUUAGCUUAAUAAAAG
RNAcentral lists this transfer RNA (21 nucleotides) under Myodes glareolus (Bank vole). RNAcentral's name for it is "partial tRNA-Ala". The record is from RNAcentral. Lineage: Eukaryota; Metazoa; Chordata; Mammalia; Rodentia; Cricetidae.